AUGGAACCACCAGUGUGCACAGCUGAGCUGUAUUUUCUGGCCCUACCACCUCUAUGCCGGCCUGGGAGGGAAGUGAAGUCUGCUGCUGCUGCUGCUGCUAAGUCGAUUCAGUCGUGUCUGACUCUAUGCGACCUCAUAGACGGCAGCCCACCAGGUUCCCCCGUCCCUGGGAUUCUCCAGGCAAGAAUAAGAGCUUCAUUAUUACCAAUAAUCCCUGAGAACUACAAAAAUCCUGCUAUACUGCCACUAAGUUUUGCUGCAUGGCCAUUAAUUAACAGCCUUUUUAGGAAGGUGGAUGAUUCUAUGUCUGAACAGCCCCUCAUGUGAUGGGAGAGAAAAGGAACGGGAAGAGAUGGAAAUGAACAGAGAAGAGGUCUGCUGAGCUGGAAACCUGUAGACUUUUCUAAGUGACAAAGGGUGAGUGUGGCUUUAUGAAAGAGGAAACUUGGUACAUUAAUGCCAGCCUUGGGAAAAGCAACAGCCCCAGAUAAGAAGUGUGUAUGGGGCUUGGAAGCCGGGCAGCUCUGAUUUCUAGCUCGAGGGCCUUCCAGUUGUGUCUCUAAGCCUCGGUUUCCUUCUUCACCUGUAGAGUGGACUUAAUAAUUUUGAUCACCUGACAGUUGAUGUGGGAACGAAAGAAGCCCACACAGGAUAAGCAAUAUACAGAGAUUAAUGCAAGGUACCUGUCAUCAUGCUUACGAAGUUCAUGAUGCUUUGAAAGGUGUAAUUCAUUGCAGAGAUGCCGACUGGGGAGAGAGGGCCUGCCUUGCACCGGGCCUGUCCUCC
Molecule: long non-coding RNA, 786 nt
Filed under: Bos grunniens (domestic yak)
Lineage: Eukaryota; Metazoa; Chordata; Mammalia; Artiodactyla; Bovidae
Description: lncRNA (ENSBGRG00000024071.1)
Source: RNAcentral